RNAcentral lists this ribosomal RNA (206 nucleotides) under Vibrio parahaemolyticus. RNAcentral describes it as "partial 16S ribosomal RNA". It matches the Rfam family "Bacterial small subunit ribosomal RNA", at positions 1144 to 1349 of the family's 1533-position model. The record is from RNAcentral. Lineage: Bacteria; Pseudomonadati; Pseudomonadota; Gammaproteobacteria; Vibrionales; Vibrionaceae.
GGAGACUGCCGGUGAUAAACCGGAGGAAGGUGGGGACGACGUCAAGUCAUCAUGGCCCUUACGAGUAGGGCUACACACGUGCUACAAUGGCGCAUACAGAGGGCAGCCAACUUGCGAAAGUGAGCGAUCCCAAAAAAGUGCGUCGUAGUCCGGAUUGGAGUCUGCAACUCGACACGAUGAGGUCGCAAUCCCAAGUAAUCGUGGAU